UGGGGAAUUUUGGACAAUGGGGGAAACCCUGAUCCAGCCAUCCCGCGUGUGCGAUGAAGGCCUUCGGGUUGUAAAGCACUUUUGGCAGGAAAGAAACGUCAUGGGUUAAUACCCCGUGAAACUGACGGUACCUGCAGAAUAAGCACCGGCUAACUACGUGCCAGCAGCCGCGGUAAUACGUAGGGUGCAAGCGUUAAUCGGAAUUACUGGGCGGAAAGCGUGCGCAGGCGGUUCGGAAAGAAAGAUGUGAAAUCCCAGAGCUCAACUUUGGAACUGCAUUUUUAACUACCGGGCUAGAGUGUGUCAGAGGGAGGUGGAAUUCCGCGUGUAGCAGUGAAAUGCGUAGAUAUGCGGAGGAACACCGAUGGCGAAGGCAGCCUCCUGGGAUAACACUGACGCUCAUGCACGAAAGCGUGGGGAGCAAACAGG
This 429-nucleotide ribosomal RNA is filed under the name Acidobacteriota bacterium. Its description in RNAcentral is "Acidobacteria bacterium partial 16S ribosomal RNA". It matches the Rfam family "Bacterial small subunit ribosomal RNA", at positions 355 to 776 of the family's 1533-position model. Lineage: Bacteria; Pseudomonadati; Acidobacteriota. The record is from RNAcentral.